RNAcentral lists this ribosomal RNA (491 nucleotides) under uncultured bacterium. Its description in RNAcentral is "partial 16S ribosomal RNA". It matches the Rfam family "Bacterial small subunit ribosomal RNA", at positions 29 to 506 of the family's 1533-position model. The record is from RNAcentral.
AGUGAACGCUGGCGGUAGGCCUAACACAUGCAAGUCGAACGGCAGCACAGUAAGAGCUUGCUCUUACGGGUGGCGAGUGGCGGACGGGUGAGGAAUACAUCGGAAUCUACUUUUUCGUGGGGGAUAACGUAGGGAAACUUACGCUAAUACCGCAUACGACCUACGGGUGAAAGCAGGGGAUCUUCGGACCUUGCGCGAUUGAAUGAGCCGAUGUCGGAUUAGCUAGUUGGCGGGGUAAAGGCCCACCAAGGCGAAGAUCCGUAGCUGGUCUGAGAGGAUGGUCAGCCACACUGGAGCUGAGACACGGUCCAGACGCCUACGGGAGGCAGCAGUGGGGAAUAUUGGACAAUGGGCGCAAGCCUGAUCCAGCCAGACCGCGUGGGUGAAGAAGGCCUUCGGGUUGUAAAGCCCUUUUGUUGGGAAAGAAAAGCAGCAGGUUAAUACCCCGCUGUUCUGACGGUACCCAAAGAAUAAGCACCGGCUAACUUCGU